GUCUGCAUGGCUUAGUAGGUUAAAGCGUCCGGUCUCAUAAUCCGAAGGUCGUGAGUUCGAACCUCACUGCGGACA
RNAcentral lists this transfer RNA (75 nucleotides) under Clonostachys rosea f. rosea IK726. It matches the Rfam family "tRNA". Rfam says of the family: Transfer RNA (tRNA) molecules are approximately 80 nucleotides in length. Their secondary structure includes four short double-helical elements and three loops (D, anti-codon, and T loops). The record is from RNAcentral. Lineage: Eukaryota; Fungi; Ascomycota; Sordariomycetes; Hypocreales; Bionectriaceae.